Molecule: ribosomal RNA, 484 nt
Filed under: uncultured bacterium
Lineage: Bacteria
Description: partial 16S ribosomal RNA
Rfam family: Bacterial small subunit ribosomal RNA
Source: RNAcentral
AUCGAACGCUGGCGGCAGGCCUAACACAUGCAAGUCGAGCGGAUGAAGGGUGCUUGCUCCUGGAUUCAUCGGCGGACGGGUGAGUAAUGCCUAGGAAUCUGCCUUGUAGUGGGGGAUAACGUCUGGAAACGGGCGCUAAUACCGCAUACGACCUGUGUGAGAAAGUGGGGGAUUUUCGGACCUCACGCGAUCAGCGGAGCCUAUGUCGGAUUAGUUACUUGGUGGGGUAAAGGCCUACCAGGGAGACGAUCCGUAACUGGUCUGAGAGAAAGUUCAGUCACAUUGGGACUGGGACACGGUACAGACUCCUGCGGGAGGCAGCAGUGGGGAAUAUUGGACUGUGGGGGGAGGCCUGAUCCAGCCGUGCCGCGUGUGUGCAGAAGAUCUUAGGAUUGUGAAGCGCUUUAAGUUGGGGGAAAAGGAAGUAGGUUAAUACCUUGCUGUUUUGACGUUCCCAACAGAAUGCACACCGGCUAACUUCGUG